UUUUAAUUUAGGACUGGAAUGAAAGAGUAAACCGGGAGAAUUUUUUUUUAUUUAAAUAAAUUAAUUUUACUUUUUAGUAAAAAGGCUAAAAUGUCUCUUUUAGACAAGAAGACCCUAUAAAACUUUAUAUUUUUUUUUGAUUAAUUUUGAAAAAAAAAUAUUUCACUGGGGCGGUGAGAAAAUAGUCUUUUCUUUAAAAAAUAGACAAACUUGUUAUGAUACCUAGAAUUUCUAAAAAAGAAGUAAGUUACUUUAGGGAUAACAGCUUAAUUCACUUAGAAAGUUCAAAUUGACAAGUGAGUUUAUGACCUCGAUGUUGAAUUAAAAU
RNAcentral lists this ribosomal RNA (328 nucleotides) under Buthus awashensis. Its description in RNAcentral is "partial large subunit ribosomal RNA". The record is from RNAcentral. Lineage: Eukaryota; Metazoa; Arthropoda; Arachnida; Scorpiones; Buthidae.